RNAcentral lists this ribosomal RNA (359 nucleotides) under uncultured Russula. RNAcentral describes it as "eukaryotic LSU rRNA". It matches the Rfam family "Eukaryotic large subunit ribosomal RNA", at positions 55 to 399 of the family's 3401-position model. Lineage: Eukaryota; Fungi; Basidiomycota; Agaricomycetes; Russulales; Russulaceae. The record is from RNAcentral.
GGAAAAGAAACUAACAAGGAUUCCCCUUAGUAACUGCGAGUGAAGCGGGAAAAGCUCAAAUUUAAAAUCCUGGUGGUCUUUGGCCGCCCGAGUUGUAAUUUAGAGAAGCGUCUUCCGCGCUGGACCGUGCACAAGUCCUCCUGGAAUGGAGCGUCAUAGAGGGUGAGAAUCCCGUCCUUUGGCACGGCACGCUCAGUGCUUUUGUGAUGCGCUCUCGAAGAGUCCGAGUUGUUUGGGAAUGCAGCUCAAAAUGGGUGGUGAACUCCAUCCUAAAGCUAAAUAUUGGCGAGAGACCGAUAGCGAACAAGUACCGUGAGGGAAAGAUGAAAAGCACUUUGGAAAGAGAGUGAUACACAGUA